Molecule: ribosomal RNA, 254 nt
Filed under: uncultured bacterium
Lineage: Bacteria
Description: partial 16S ribosomal RNA
Rfam family: Bacterial small subunit ribosomal RNA
Source: RNAcentral
GACAGAGGGUGCAAACGUUUGUUCGGAAUUACUGGGCGUAAAGCGCGUGUAGGCGGUCGGGCAAGUCGGAUGUGAAAGCCCAGGGCUCAACCCUGGAAGUGCACUCGAUACUGCUCGGCUAGAGUCCCGGAGAGGAUGGUGGAACUCUCGGUGUAGAGGUGAAAUUCGUAGAUAUCGAGAAGAACACCGGUGGCGAAGGCGGCCAUCUGGACGGUGACUGACGCUGAGACGCGAAAGCGUGGGGAGCAAACAGG